GCUAAGAUAGGUUAAUAUAAACCCCGAGACUCAUAACCUUGAAUUGCCUGAAUCAGGCUCUUAGUA
RNAcentral lists this transfer RNA (66 nucleotides) under Lottia digitalis (California fingered limpet). Its description in RNAcentral is "tRNA-Met". Lineage: Eukaryota; Metazoa; Mollusca; Gastropoda; Lottiidae. The record is from RNAcentral.